GACGAACGCUGGCGGCGUGCUUAACACAUGCAAGUCGAACGGUGAAGCGCCUUACUUUUGGGUUGGUGUGGUGGAGUGGCGAACGGGUGAGUAACACGUGAGUAAACUGCCCCCUUCUUCUGGAUAACCGCAUGAAAGUGUGGCUAAUAAGGGAUAUUCUGGGUCUGUCGCAUGCUGGGUCUGGGCAAGAUAUUGUUUCGGUGGGGGAGGGGCUCGCGGCCUAUCAGCUUGUUGGUGGGGGGAUGGUCUACCAAGGGGGUGAGGUGUGGCCGGCCUGAGAGAGUGGACGCUCACACUGGGACUGAGACACGCGGAAGACUCCUACAGGAGACAGAGGUGUAGAAUAUUGCAGAAUGGGGGCGGAACUGAUGCAGCGACGUCGCGUGAGGGAUGGAGCCGUUCGGGGGGUGAUAAUCUGUCGCUAGUGAAGCAGGCAUGCCGGGACUGGGGGUGGGUUGAGUGUAGCGGAAUAAGAAGCGCCGGCUAACUACGUG
This 494-nucleotide ribosomal RNA is filed under the name uncultured bacterium. RNAcentral describes it as "partial 16S ribosomal RNA". It matches the Rfam family "Bacterial small subunit ribosomal RNA", at positions 28 to 507 of the family's 1533-position model. The record is from RNAcentral.